AGCCCCGUCGUAUAGUGGCCAAGUAUCCCGGGCUUUGAACCCGGUGACCAGAGUUCGAAUCUCUGCGGGGCUA
Molecule: transfer RNA, 73 nt
Filed under: Candidatus Iainarchaeum sp.
Lineage: Archaea; Nanobdellati; Candidatus Iainarchaeota; Candidatus Iainarchaeia; Candidatus Iainarchaeales; Candidatus Iainarchaeaceae
Description: tRNA-Gln
Rfam family: tRNA
About the family: Transfer RNA (tRNA) molecules are approximately 80 nucleotides in length.
Source: RNAcentral